This is a long non-coding RNA of Lolium rigidum, 700 nucleotides long. RefSeq lists it as uncharacterized. The record is from RefSeq and is a predicted model, not a curated record. Lineage: Eukaryota; Viridiplantae; Streptophyta; Magnoliopsida; Poales; Poaceae. The transcript has 2 exons.
UCCCUCGAAAGCUGUUUACUAGUCUUUUGUAUUGAUCGACCGUCAAGGCCGGAUCUCCAGGUGUUGUUCUCACCUUGAUUUGGCGCGUCUCAGGCGCUGCGAUGGGUGCUACGCUAACGCCGCCGCCGUCCGCCGGAUACGGCCCGGACGGCGACGAUACUGCAAAUGAUCUCAUCGUCGGUGAUGAUGGCGGCCUCACUUUCAUCCAGGGUUGAGCGAAAGCCAACCCAUGAUAUAUAGCUCGGGCGCUUAUAUAAAUGACCGAGAUGUACAAGGGCAAACCGAGGCCUGUCCGGAACCGCGACGAUGCGCUCAUGCCUCAAUAUAUGCUCCGCAACUGCUGGUCGACUGUUCGUCAUCAUCAAAAAUAAAGGGCGAGCUAGCUAGGGUCUGUUCAAGUGUUCAUCCUUUGGCGUCAUUUCGUGAAGUCGCAGAAAUAGCAACGUUGGUACUGGGUGUGUCGGAUGGUAUGAAGAAACAAGUACAGCAUGUUUCUUUACUACUACUAGUGAAGAUAUAUUCAGUGGUGAAACAAGAUAAAAUUCAGAAGUGGCCCUCGGUACCAUAUGUUUGGUGUGAAUAUUUCUUAUGGUAUAUGAGGGCCUGGUGUGUAUAUGUUAUUUGUGUGAUGUAAUACUUCCAGCAUAUCUUAUGUAAGAAACCCUUAUCAGAGUUUGGUAUAUAUAUCCUUUUGCUCCUA